ACAAUGGUGGUUCAGUGGUAGAAUUCUUACCUUCCAUGUGGGAGACCCAGGUUCAGUUCCUGACCAAGGCA
RNAcentral lists this transfer RNA (71 nucleotides) under Loxodonta africana (African savanna elephant). It matches the Rfam family "tRNA". Rfam says of the family: Transfer RNA (tRNA) molecules are approximately 80 nucleotides in length. Their secondary structure includes four short double-helical elements and three loops (D, anti-codon, and T loops). The record is from Rfam by way of RNAcentral. Lineage: Eukaryota; Metazoa; Chordata; Mammalia; Proboscidea; Elephantidae.